This 547-nucleotide ribosomal RNA is filed under the name uncultured bacterium. RNAcentral describes it as "bacterial SSU rRNA". It matches the Rfam family "Bacterial small subunit ribosomal RNA", at positions 67 to 611 of the family's 1533-position model. The record is from RNAcentral.
CGGUAACAUUUCUAGCUUGCUAGAAGAUGACGAGUGGCGGACGGGUGAGUAAUGCUUGGGAACUUGCCUUUGCGAGGGGGAUAACAGUUGGAAACGACUGCUAAUACCGUAUAAUGUCUACGGACCAAACGGGGCUUAGGCUCCGGCGCAAAGAGAGGCCCAAGUGAGAUUAGCUAGUUGGUAAGGUAAAGGCUUACCAAGGCAACGAUCUCUAGCCGUUCUGAGAGGAAGAUCAGCCACACUGGGACUGAGACACGGCCCAGACUCCUACGGGAGGCAGCAGUGGGGAAUAUUGCACAAUGGGGGAAACCCUGAUGCAGCCAUGCCGCGUGUGUGAAGAAGGCCUUCGGGUUGUAAAGCACUUUCAGUUGUGAGGAAAAGUUAGUAGUUAAUACCUGCUAGCCAUGACGUUAACAACAGAAGAAGCACCGGCUAACUCCGUGCCAGCAGCCGCGGUAAUACGGAGGGUGCGAGCGUUAAUCGGAAUUACUGGGCGUAAAGCGCACGCAGGCGGUUUGUUAAGCUACAUGUGAAAGCCCCGGGCUCA